AUGUACCACGCGAACAUUGCGGUUCCGAGCGUGCCGUAAGCGCCCACCUGACAGCGGCUCGCUACGUUGUGUUAGCC
This is a small RNA of Xanthomonas oryzae pv. oryzae, 77 nucleotides long. It matches the Rfam family "Xanthomonas sRNA sX9". Lineage: Bacteria; Pseudomonadati; Pseudomonadota; Gammaproteobacteria; Lysobacterales; Lysobacteraceae. The record is from Rfam.